This 29795-nucleotide long non-coding RNA is filed under the name Linum usitatissimum (flax). RNAcentral's name for it is "long non-coding RNA (LUSI_LNC007996)". Lineage: Eukaryota; Viridiplantae; Streptophyta; Magnoliopsida; Malpighiales; Linaceae. The record is from RNAcentral.
GUCAUGGGAGAUGAAUAAUAAUACUAUGACACGAAAAGCAAUGAAUAUGAAUAAAAAAAAUGUUAACAAGAAAUGUUGUGAGGGAGUCUAAUUAUGUAAGAUGUGUUAUCUAGCACUUUGUUUUCCCAAUAACUUGUGUCAAAAUGUUGUUGUUAGUACUUUUGAUGUUUUGUUCCUUUCUAAUGAAAUAUGUUAUCUGUAGCAUGUUUGUCUUUGUAAUGCCAUCCCUCACUUUAAUGGAACAAAUGGAUCUUUGUUUGGCUGUCUUAAACCUUUGUCUUAGGGUUCCAUGGCGAAUGAUUAUGCAGUGUUAUUUGCAAUGUAAGGGUUCGGUCGCAUUACAUCGUAAUUUUUUUUAUUGAAUAUAUUUCUNNNNNNNNNNNNNNNNNNNNNNNNNNNNNNNNNNNNNNNNNNNNNNNNNNNUUUGAAAACCUCCCAAUUAAUUAAUGACGAUUUUGGAUUAGACUUCAAAUCGCUAUAGACCCACCGGUGAUGAUUUGAAAUCCAUUCUCACACUAACAAAUAAAAUAAGAGAUAAUCAUGUAAACCCAUUACAAAUUACCCACCAAAUCAAAUAACUAGUUAUAGAAAAACAAUAACUAUUAGUUACAAAUAAAUGUGUUUAGUAUCUACACAAUGUAAAUAGUUAUACUAGUUACAAAUCGUUAUAACUAGUUAAGAAAUUUAUUUGAAUCCUGUUCGGAGUCUUACCAAUGAUUAUACACUAAGUUUGCUAGCAUACAUAGCAUGACCAUCCAUGUUCUCUACCGGUUUCGAUAUCUUUUUUACCUAAUAAUUUAAUUUGGUCUUCUUAAUUAUAUAUAUCUGCUGUUUUUAUAAUAACAUAACGUUACUCCACUCCAUGUACCUAUCAUCACUCAUCUCCUUCCAUAAUUACAAAAUAAAAAUUAAAUUAUAAAAUUAUUGAUUUGGGUUCCACUACUCCAAGUUCAUGAAGCUUCCAUACAUUACAACUGGACUAACAAAUGGGUGACGGGAGUAGACAACUCUUUUAUCCUUUUUAAGGUAGUCUGAAAUAUUAAUUAUGAAAAUCGAAACAAACAUCGUUCAAUCUAUUAAAUAAAAAGUAUGGAUGAGUAUCUCUUUAUUAGUGAGUGACUCGAAAACUUUAAUUGUUGUGCAAGCACAUGAACAACCUUGUUAUUAUCUCUCCUCACAAAGCUAACCGUAAGAUUCGGUUUUGAAUCUAGAAUGACUCGGCAUCUUCGUAUAAUAUCGCCAAACUCUAUACGGUACUCAAACUGUCUGAUUCAUCGCGUAAACCACCACAUGUGCGUCUGCUUCAAUGACCACUCGAUCCAAUUGCAGCUCCACACACCAUUUUAAGCCCUCCCACAUAUGCAGUGCGUCCAUGGCCGCCGCCACCGUCCNNNNNNNNNNNNNNNNNNNNNNNNNNNNNNNNNNNNNNNNNNNNNNNNNNNNNNNNNNNNNNNNNNNNNNNNNNNNNNNNNNNNNNNNNNNNNNNNNNNNNNNNNNNNNNNNNNNNNNNNNNNNNNNNNNNNNNNNNNNNNNNNNNNNNNNNNNNNNNNNNNNNNNNNNNNNNNNNNNNNNNNNNNNNNNNNNNNNNNNNNNNNNNNNNNNNNNNNNNNNNNNNNNNNNNNNNNNNNNNNNNNNNNNNNNCCCCCCCCCCGGCCGUUUGAAGCUAUGGUUUCAACGGCGACGUCCACCACCUGUUUCGCAAUAUGUUGAUGAUGACUUCCACACCCUCUCAUUACCUCCACGCCACAACGCCCAAAUGAUGGCGAUCAUUUAUUUACAUUGCACUUCGCUCGCCUGCUUCAAAAUCAACAUGAUCCAUUCGGCGAGUGAUUCACAACGGUCCCUAGUUUGCUCAACUAUUGUCGCCAUAGCUUCCUUCCAACGUUCCCACGCAAAGCCGCACUCCAAGAACAAAUGCCAUCCGUUCUCUACCUCCAUCAUACACGUCCCACACUCCCAAGGCACUACAACAUGCUUUUCCUGAAGACUAGACCUCGUCGGGAGCACUCCUCUACUCGCACGCCACGCAAAGUGUUUAAGUUUGGGAGUAUAAAGAAUUGAUCUCUCCAAAGGGAAUUAGUAUUCCUCUCGACUGGGAGUUAGGGUUUUCUGUAAUAAAAUUUCUCGACAAGGGUUUUUCUUCCCCGAUUUCCACACUCGACCAAUCAUUCCUCUAUGGUGACCAGGGGCACGUGACUCAACUCUCUAAGCACCAGAAUGAAGAACAAUUGAAGAUACUACCUUCCCUUAGCAUGUUCCCAUAAAGGAGCUGUUUUAUGGCACCAAGUUUGAUAGGUUUCCUUCAGUUUUAUUUUGAGAUAGGGUCUUUUGCCAUGUACUUUAGUUUCCAGUUUCUUUGUUUGUUUUUGUGCUUUCGCUAUGAGUUAUGAUUUGAUUGAAUUGUCUUGAUGGUUUGCGUAAGGAGUAGGGGUGUUUUGAUUAUCAAAGGAAUUGAGUCUAUGUAGUUUUGUUUGUAAGGUAUACACCUCCUGUCAGUGUUUGGCAUGAGCGAUAUGAUCGAACAAAUUUUGAUGAAUGAAAUGGGCAUAUUUUAAGUUAAAAAAGAUUACAAUAUAAAUCUCGUCUUAUUUCCUCGCCUACUCUAGGGAUGACUCCUCCGAGAGGAUUAAGCAUUCUGUUAUUGAUUUGUGCUACGGUUUUAGGUUAGCUAAGUAAUUAAUUUGCAGUCGGAUUGCCUUCCCGACAAAGAUGCUCAGCCUUGAUCAACCAGUCUCAAUUCAAGGUGGAGCAUAGUUGGUUGCGUUGUGUACUGCCAACCUGGAACGUUCUGAAUUCCAAUCAAUCAUACCCCACAUAUUGACACCAGACAUUUUUUCCGUUUCCUAUCUCUUGUCAUGUCAUGUUUUCUAGGUCUAUUUUUGACAAAAAAACUUAUCUCAAUCAGACAAUCAUAAAAACUAGCGACCUCAGAAAAGUGUUGGUGCGUUCUCAACCUCCACUGGUAAUAAAUAAAUAGCAUCAAGUGAAUCCAACUACACACAUACUUUCUGGAAGAUACACCGGUACAAGCUCGUUUCCUGACUCAUUUCAUCCGUGUUACGAUUGCGUGCAUCACUACUUCUACCACUCAAGUUCAGUGGAAUGGAGCUUUGACAGAUUCUUUCAAACCAGGACGCGGAUUAAGGUAGGGAUGUCCUCUUUCUCCCUAUCUUUUCACUUUUUGUAUUGAACGGCUUUGUCAUACGAUUAUAUCUUGCCUUGAUGAUGGUAGUUGGAGCCCUAUUUUCCUUAGUCGUAAUGGUCCUCUUCUCUCUCACCUCUUUUUUGCUGAUGACUCAAAUCACUAUAUGUGUAUAUGUCAAUUUUCAUCAAUCUUCAUAAAGAAAUAAAAAAGAUUCUACUUUGAAAUUGCAAAUCUUCAACACUCAUAAAUCUUGCUGGUCAUAUAAGACUUGCUAUAUUUAUCCUAUAAUUCACAUGAUUAUAUUCUAGCCCUACUCAAAUGAUAUAAACUUAAAUCAUAUAUAAUGUUUUUCAAGAACAUAAAAUCUCAUGUUAUUUUAUUUGAGAAAGUGAAGACAUAAACAAUGAGUUAUGUGAUAUGUCAUUACCAAUAUUAUAUUUGUUGGUUGACCAAUUGGUCCCAUGUGGCAAUUUUAUCACUUGGUUAUUUGUGAAACCAACUUAUAAAACUACACCAUCAUUUAAAAAUAUGAUCAUUUAGAUCAUGCAUGAUAUUUAUUUUAUAUAUAUAUUCUUGAAUUUAAAGAAAAUGGUGUAAUGUAAUGUUAUGAUUAUGCACCAUUUUUUCACUAAGUUUUUAUCCUAUAAGGUUUUCCUAGUAAGGUUUCGAUGAGAAAUAUUCUCAUUUAAUUGUCAUCCAAGGAGGAGCGUUAUGCAAAUAUUGAUUAUAGAUGACAAUUGAUCAUAUUGAUGCAUACAUUAUACACACAAACUCCGGUGAGUUAAAAUCAUGGUCAAACAAGUGCGCUCAAGUGAUAACUUGACUGGUUUCUUUACCAAGGCUCUAUCUACAUCAAUUUUUAGGAAAGUCAUCAUCAUCGGGAGGAGUCGAUACGCGCUACACUUUUUUCCCUUAACCAUAAUUUUUCCCAUUGAGUUUUCCUGAUAAGAUUUUUAAUGAGGUGGCCUCAAAAGCGUAUUUCAAGAAUGAUAUAUAUUUUUAACCACUGGUCAUUCAAGGGAGGGUGUGAUAAAUAUUAAUAUUAUGUGUAAUGAAUGACCAUUGUGUAACUCCUAUAUGAAUGCCAUUCAUUGUCUUUCAUUUUUCCAUUCAAGUGCGAUGACAUAGUCAUAUAAGAGUUAUAUCUUGAGCUUAUCAAUAGUGUUCUAAACAUUGUAAAAGAUAAACAUCAACAAGAAUGAUUCUCCUCCCUUUUUUUAUUGUCUUUUUCUCGUUAAUUAGUUCUAUAACCCUUACGAGUAAAUGUAUUUUAGGUAAAGCUAGCUAGAACUUUCAAAUAAAGACAUUUGCUUGCAAAAUUGUUUUAUUUUGGGCUAUGGUUUUAAUGAAGACCACUCAAAUCUAAAGAGAAUCCCAACUACCAUAAUCUCAACCGUUAGUUAUGUUUAUGGUAUAUAUUAUUCAAAAUAAAAUAAAAAAAGGCACGAGUUGGUAAUAUAGCCUUGUUCCAUCUGGCCUAUAUUUAGGCACUCUACUUCAGAUGGCCGUCCUCACUCUUUGAAAUCCCAUUUGUCAUUCACCAACAGUACCUCCAAAAAAAAAUCUAUAGGAAUGAGGAAUAUAUCCUUCUAUAAUCUUAAUAAUCAUAUGAAUUGUGUAGUUUGUUGGCACGCUUGCUUUGUUGGGUUGUUCGAGAGAGAAUCUCGAACAUACCCUGGUAGCAUGUAAAUAAACAGAAGUAAUUAAUGAGAGGAAGAGAAUAUACAUAUAAGCGGUUGAUGUUUAAAAAGAGAUCGAUAUGAUUAGGAAAACUUACCGAGAAGAUCCGCAUAUAUUAUAUAGGCAUAUGUGAUAGGUGAUACAAAAUCAACGAUCUAAAAUAGUCUUCUUGUUUCAGAAUUAGGAUUCAUGUAUCAUGUGACAAUGCUAAUUAGCUGGAUCACCCGAACUGAUCCAAGCAACAACAUAAAUAGACUCUGAAAAUUAAACCUUAGUAUAUAUUGUUUCGGAUACCAUACCUUGAGAUCGAUGCUUAACAACUUAGCUAGUUGAUUUCAGAAUUUGGAAAACUGACUCGGAUUCAAUUUUAAUCGUCGGAACGGCUCAAGUUAUAGCACUAGGUGUCGUCGAGCCUGGACUAUCCGUAACAUAAAUACCCAACUUUCAGACUUAAUGAGAGUCAAACCCCAGCCGCUACCGUAGCUGUUGUAGUCGUAGCUUCUUUGAUCUCCUUUAUCUUUUCGAUUUUAUCUUGGAUUUUUGCUGUAAUGUUUCCUCGUGGCUUUCUUUUUCGGAGGGAAAAUUGCACUCUCGCCGAGAGUUCUCCUCAUCUUUGGAAACCCUAGCCGCAAUUGUCGAAGCCGUCGUCAUCAUGACUUCGCCACAACCAUCACGUCUGUCAAGAAAUAGUGCAGAUGCGAUCUUACAACUUCCGAUCCAAGAGAGACGGAAGUUAAAGCCAGGUUCUCGAAAUCACCCAGGAAACUCAGCUAAACCUCCACCUCCUCAUCCGCUACCGGUCUACCCCAAAGUUUGACUGUUUGUUCCGUCUAUUAGCUAGAAUUAUGAUAUGUCCUUUUAUUAUUGUAAUUUGCUGUUGGCACUUUUUCUAUUCCUCUUGUCGUUGCUGAUGAGUGAGGAACGAAGUUAUCGUUUUUGCGGGGACCUACGAUAAAUACAGUUCCGUUUGUUGAGUCUAUAUUUCCAGUGGGCAUGUUUUGUACGCUCGUUAUGGAACGUCUUUUGAAAUAAAAUAUCAAGUUUUAAUAUAAAAAAAAACAAUAAUCUUGACCACGACAUCUAAACAACUUCCAAUUGUCACAAAUUCCAAACUUUGUAGCACAUCUAUCAAACUUGCAUUUAUCAUAAGUUCAUUAACUAAUCAUUCUUUUUAGAGAAAAUACACAUUUAUACUCUUACAUUAUACAAAAUAUACAUCAACAUCCCUCUAUUAUAUUUUAAUUCAUUUAACUCCCAAACUUUAACAAAGUUUAUAAUCAAGCCCCCCCAUUAGAUUUUCGUUAAACAUCUCAAGCAGGUGUGUGCUGCUGACUAUAUUUUUCACUAAGGAAAAUUAACGAAUUUGAAUAAUUAUUAAGAGGAAGAUGAAACAGUAUUUUAUUUUUAAAAAGUAAAAUUUAACUNNNNNNNNUUUUAAAAAGUAAAAUUUAACUUUAAUUUUUAUUCAAAUUAAAUAAUUUUUCUUAGUGAUAAAUACAGUUAGCAGCUCACAUAAAUCUGAGUUGGUAUGUCACGUCAACAUAUUUAAUGAACAAGAAUAUAACGAAAGAACCUGUUUAUAAAUUUUAUUAAAGUUUAAAUGCUAAAUCGAUUAAAAUAUAAUAAAAAAAUGUCGUUGUAAACUUUACAUGAUAAAUAUUUAUUUUCCCUUCUUUUUAAUAAAACAAUUUCACCGCUAUUAUUAAUUAUUUAACGCGUUAACGUGUUAUUAGUUGGCGCCUUCCCACCCUCUGCUAUAUAUUUCCCCUUCUCUUCUUUCCUUCCUUUAGCAGGUGAAGAAAGAAAAAACACGAUUAUCAAUUUUUUUCUUCACCUCUCAAAACAUAGAAGAAAAAUUCCGCCAUUGUUUCCUUCCUUUGCAUUUGCUUAGCUCAAAGCCUCAAACUUUCCCUUCAUCUAGUACGGCCGGUGGCGGCAUCGACGGCGACGGUAACGACGGAGAAAAACAAGAAGAAACUUCAGAUCUAGAAAAGCCAGAGAUGCCAUCGUUAGAGGAGGAGCUUUUCCCAUCUACUCCGGGAAAAUUCAAGAUUGACCACCACCGUAGCCACCGCCAAUUCCACCGAUGCUUCUCCUCCACCAGCACGAUGUUCCUCUGGGCUCUGUUCCUCAUCGCCCUAACAGCAUCCUAUCUUAGCUUCCAGAGCUUCGUCGAUUCGGGAAGCCGCUACUUCUCCGCCUCAUGGGGCGGAAUCCAGUGGGAGAGGCAGGUUCGUAACUCCGCCCAGAUCCACCGGUCCGGGGGGAUGUCGGUGCUCGUCACCGGCGCCGCCGGAUUCGUCGGCACUCACGUCUCCUUAGCGUUGAAAAAGAGAGGAGACGGCGUGGUAGGGAUUGACAAUUUCAACAACUACUACGACCCGUCUUUGAAAGAAGCCCGUAAAUCGAUGGUGGAAGCCCAAGGAAUUUUCAUAGUCACCGGGGACAUAAACGACGCCAAGCUGCUGAAAAAACUAUUCGACGUCGUUCCGUUCACCCACGUGAUGCACCUGGCAGCCCAGGCCGGUGUUCGUUACGCGAUGGAGAAUCCUCAUUCUUAUGUGCAUUCCAACAUCGCCGGAUUGGUAACGCUCCUCGAGAUCUGCAAAUCAGCGGAUCCCCAGCCAGCUAUCGUAUGGGCAUCGUCCAGCUCCGUUUACGGGCUCAACGAGAAGGUUCCCUUUUCGGAAUCGGACCGAACCGAUCAGCCAGCGAGUCUGUACGCUGCGACAAAGAAGGCCGGUGAGGAAAUUACUCAUACUUAUAAUCACAUUUACGGGCUGUCGAUUACGGGGUUAAGAUUCUUUACGGUUUACGGGCCGUGGGGUCGACCGGACAUGGCAUACUUCUCGUUUACGAGGAAUAUUUUGCAAGGGAAGCCGAUUACAGUUUACCGGGGGAAGAACCGGGUCGAUUUGGCCCGGGAUUUCACCUACAUUGACGAUAUCGUGAAGGGGUGUUUGGGGUCGUUGGAUACUUCAGGAAAGAGUACCGGUUCCGGUGGGAAGAAGACUGGUCCAGCAAAGUACCGGAUUUUCAAUUUGGGGAAUACGUCGCCGGUGACGGUGCCGAAUUUGGUGGGGAUAUUGGAGAGGCAUUUGAAGGUGAAAGCGAAGAAGAAGCUUGUGGAUAUGCCUGGAAAUGGCGACGUUCCCUUUACUCACGCCAAUACUAGUUACGCGAGGAAGGAGUUCGGUUAUAAACCGACCACUGAUCUUCAAACCGGGUUGAAGAAGUUUGUCAAGUGGUAUCUUUCCUACUACGGCUAUAAUAACGGGAAAUCUGUAAAUUAAAAACGAGAUUUGGGGUUCUUUUUUUCUUUCUUUUUUUGUUGUUGUACUUUUAGAUGAACAAAAAACUAAGAUGAAAGAAGAAGGGAUUGACUGUCAAAAGUGAAGAAUAUCCCGAUUCUGCAAUGAUUUUACAGUUGGCUCAUUGUUACCAGCUUUCAUAAACUUUGACUAAGCUACAAUGGUGAAAAGAGAAAAAUAGUGACCACGUACAGCUCAGAUGUAUUGAUGCAACUUCAAUAUAAAAAAUUAAGCUCUCUAUGAAAUCAUAUUUCAAUUUGCACCUUUACAAUCUAUUUGGCUUUCCUUCUGGAUGCUACUUCCUUGGCCCAAGCUUUGCCUACAUCUGUCUGGAAUUUCCCUGCAAAUUACAUACAAAUGUAACAACACAUUGAAAUUUGAUUAGCCCUUGUGGGUUUUUAAUAGUUAGAUGCAGACGAACUGAAAGGAAGAAACUUUGCACAUACCAGCAGUGGACUGGAAGAACUCCUCCAAAUCUUUCCCUUGUUCUGCAUUACCCAGAUAAACCAGCCCAACUUUCAGUAAAACAGCUGAGAUCAGCUUUCUCUAAGUAACUAAUAUGGCUGUUUAUGGCCAAUCAGGCAGAUGGUAGGAAGAAAACACUCACCAUUUUCAUAUUCCAAAGCCUGAAGAAUCAUCUCCACCUAGAAAUGAACAAAAACAUGAAUGCAAAACAUAAACUGUUAGUUAUACGUGAUAUGGAUAAUAUGUUUGGAUGUCUCUACAUUACCAUUAAUAACCCUUUCACUUAACCUAUCAUCAUCGACAUAUAUCGCAUACACAAAGAUGAAAAAAUGAAGUACCUUGUCAAAGUCCUUCACUAAUUUGGCUUCUGGGGAAGAAUUAUCUUCAUACUCUUUCCACAACUGCUCUAUCUCCUUAGCUACAAAAAAUGCAUAAGAAAAUCCCCUCCAAACCAUAAAAGUUACAACUAGACACAGAAAGAACAAUCACAAGCAAAGGGAUUUGAUUCUACCUCUUGAUCCUCCACCUAACAACUUGCACAUAUGAUCCAACGCUUCAGCCUCUUUCCGGCUCUUCUCCUCCUUCGGCACUCCAUCUGAUGGGGUAAUGUCACCAACUAUAGCUGGUUGAAUGAAACAUCCCAUUUGUAAGAGAACAAUUCAUUAGCUUCUCAAGUUUCAAACCGCUAAUACUACUUAGCCUAAUCUUGACAGUAUCGAACAGCACAUAGAACAGGAAAGUUUAUUAGCUCCUCUGAUUUUGAGAACCUUCCAUUGUUGAUACUACUUAGUCUAAUAAUGAACAGAACAUUGGAGAAGAAAACUCAUUAGUAUCUCCAAUUUCAAACAUUCAGUCAUGAAAAAGAAAAACGCUAGGGAUCAUCUUGCUCAGCCCUUAAUACCUUUCCAAUAGGGUAGCAAAAUCAAGAAGAUCAUAUCACAGUUCAUUAUGCUUUGUCAACGAUUUCUGAUGAUUUCCUAUACAUGAACAUAUUAACAACUGACUUACCUUCAGCUAUGUCAUGAACAAUUGCCAUCUUCACACACCUGAAAGAAUCAACGAAACCAUACAUUUAACACACAGCAUUACAACUAGUAACCGACCAAGAUUGAAAUAAAGAAAAAGGGAGAAAUCCUAACUUGUCACGAUCGAUGCCAGGAAUAUCCGGCAAAAUCAAACCCAUCAAUCCCAUUCUGUACAUAUGAUCCGCUAUCGAUUCCGGAUCCCUAACAUCCCUCUUCACCCAUCCAGCCCUCUUCGUGGUCUGAAAAUUUACGAUUAAAACCAACAAUCAAAGCAGGAAAUCUACUUACUACUAGUGCUAAAUGGGAGAACUGGGUUUUGCUUUACCUUGAGGCGGUGGCAGAGGGAGAGGAAAUCAAUGGCUGAAGAAGGGGACGCGGCGGCGUUGGUGGCGUCGGAUGGAGUAGUCUCGGCGGUUGCCAUGCGGUGGUGAGUGCAGUGAGACGGGGAAGAGGAAGCGGCGAACGAGUUGAACCGGAAGCGGGUCGUGGGAGCAGAAAAGGAGGAGGAUGAGGUGAGGAAGAGGAGUGAGCUCGAUUUACAGAGCACUGCCGCUCGAGUUGCUAUGAUCCUCAUUUUCCCUUCUUUUUCGUAUAGUUUACUUUUUUUUCUACUUAAAAAACUAUUCAUAUUCAGCUAUUUUGCAGAAUUUUCGAAUGUCAUGAUAUUUAGAUCAUAAGAAAUAAUUAAUAUUUUUAAUAUCAUGAUAUUAGAUGAUAUAAAAUUUCCAAACAAAAAGUUCGUAUUAAAUUUAUUUUUAAAAAUGAUUAAAAUAUGAGGGUUUUUUCAUUAAUAACAUAUAUUCGAGAUUACAUGAUAUUAGAAGAAUAAAUACCAAAUAUUGUUAUAUUUUGAGGUUUCUUAUCCUUUUCACUUUGGUUAUACUUCAUGUGAUCAUUGGUUUUCCCCCCACAACACAAGGUACAAACCCGUUAUCGCCAUCGCAGCUCCGAUCAACCUAUAUAACACAAACUAACAGGCGUAAGUGUAACCCUAAGAAACAUUGUUUUGAAAACCUAACCGGACCGGUCGUCUGUGAACUGGAAUCUCGCCCGAUACCAAUUUAGCGGUUUGUGAGAUUGAUCAAAGUCGGGUGUUGAUCCGAUUUGACCGUAAAAUUUAGCCGGUUCAAUUGAAAUUAUUUGGCCGGUUGGACCAAAUUUUUAUUCCUAAACUUAUUUUUUUUAAAAGAUGAGAGUGGGAUUCGGACCCUGGGUGAAUAGUGAUUACUAGCUUUACAAAUAUCAUAAUUUGAUCAAAUCAUGCAUUUAACUGAUAAUAAUAAACAUUAUUAUAAUUAAUUAAUAUAAAAUGAAUAGCUUCUAAAUUAUAUAUUAAAUUUCAAUUAUUUGAUGAAUAAAAAGUUUUAAGUCGUUUAUAUAAUUUGUUAUCGAUAUGUCCAGUUUACCACUCCUUUAUGCCACUGCUAUAGAUAUUUUACGAGUCUGUUAUGUGUUUUUCCCCAGAGCACCAUAUAAAGCCUUAUUAUCACUGCUACACCUCCGAUCAACCUAUCCAACAACACAUAUCACGAUUUUAUUAAAGCUUGAUCAGAACCCAAUUGUGUUAAUAUUCAUAACUAAGCACGUAAGUUAGGACAAGCUAAGUUACCCUCCCAAGUAAGUUUGUUCUUGGAGGAAAAUUGCAGCAAAGAUUGCAGUAAUGACUGCGCAAAGAGGGUUGAAAAUUGCAGGGAAUACUGGGCCUCUCUCACCAACACACCAAGCUUGCCCCAAGAAAGACAGUGCCAAAGCUACUCCCUAGUUUAAACACAUGCAAUUUGUAAGAAAACAACACAUUAUCGUAACAGAAAAAAUGAUGAAAAGAUAAUCUAGAGCUUACCUCAUAUAAACAACAACCGAAUUGAAAGAUGGAAUUGAGUUUCCAAGACGAGUAAUCCUUAUCCAGGAACAAAGCUAUUGUCAUUGAUUGAAUGGUAGCCAGGAAGCACAACCAAGCUGAUGAGUAUAUCAGAUCAGGGCAUGUUGCCGCUAUUGGAACCUGUCCAUGAAAAUUUAAAGUUCAAAAGGGACGAGUAUUUUGAGAUGAUCACGUGUGUGAACAUUUUUCGUUAACGGAGGUCGAAUCGCCAGAAACUUGAAUGAAAGAGUUUUCGGUGACUGGAAAUAGUGGUGAAACUGUUGAGUUUUAGGCCAACAAAAUUAUUUUAAAUACUAUAUAAUCAUGUUAUCACUGAUUAAUUUAAGCCCUUAGAUCAUAUAAAGUUUUAAGGGCUAAUAUUAAUCUUGGAACGGUACGUAUUUUGACACGAAAUUCGGACUCAUCUUCCUAUGGCAUGCACUGCCGAUGGGGACCUAGCUAGGGGGAACUUUGUAAGGCUCUGCCACACAUCAUUGAUGCUAUAAGUAGAUUGAGAGAUAACAGUUGUGGAGUUAUAUUUCAGCUGCUCGAUCGUAUCACUUGGCUGGUAAAAGACAUAUAGUUGGGAACUUAGAGGACAGAGUUGAUUGUUGCUGGGGUUCAGUGGUCCAUGAUUUGUGGCCAUGGAGCAGCCAUGCAUGAAUCUGAGUCGAGUUUUGAUUUUGGUACGAAACAAAAAGGCUAAGCAGAACUCAGUCUAUUCCAAGUACGUACCAUAAGCCUUGGCUGAUAAUGAGAGAUUGAAAUCCUGACAGUAGUAUUUAUGAAUAUUGUUUUCUCCGAAAUGAUUUGUUUUACAGACUCUGGAAUGACCAAGGUCCUUCAAUCUUUUACAUUAGAACCUAGCCGUGGGUGGGAGCUUGGCUUUUGUUCAGUCAACCUGUGGCUUGACUCUUUAAGCUACUCUCUCGUACACUAAUGAUACCAAAGAGGAAAAUCUUCAGCGUCGUUCUUGUAUUUAUGAAGCUCAUCAGCUUCUGAAACGCAGAUGAAACGCAGAUGGAGUGUGCGCUUAUUGAAUACUAGAUAAUUUUCGAAGGGAGAAUUACGGUAGCAAAAAUAAACAACAUUAAGUAUCAUCUCAAAUUGUUAUAUCAGUCUUCAUUUGGUUUUGGAGAUAUGAAAGAGCAUGUCUUGCAAGUUGAUGGACAACUUUGUUGGCCCUCGCCGGAUCAUUUGCAUCUGCAAAUGCAGGCACGCCGCUAGAAAGGCGAAAAUCUCAGCAAACACUGUGCCACUAGCAACAAACCGAGUGUAUCGCUGAGAGAGUUUGGAGAGGACCAUCUCCACGUCGCCUUCGAUGUCAACCUGCCACACCUCAUGACCAAAGCACCACGUGCAAGCAUCGCGGACGGCCAGUAGUUCUAGGACAUAAGGAUCAAGAAGUUUUGGAUACGUCCGUCCAACCCCGUGUAAAAGGUCGUCACCCGCAUUUCUAAUCACUAGACCCACCGCACUGCCAGUCGGAUCAGCCACCGCACCAUCCACAUUGAUUUUAAUGAUAGGAGAGAGUGCGCUUAUCAAAUACCUUUAGAGAGGGAAAUCAGGUCGCAAACCUGCUUGCUCAUCAAGAGCAUUUCGCUCUGUUUUGGCCUUCACCAGUUUUGGACCCUCCCUCGUGAGGUUUCUUAUUGUAUCAAUAUUGAUAUCCUGGGAGUUACAGUCCCCUGAAUUUGUUUCUAUAAUUUUUUUGACGUAAAAGGUCAAAGUCAUUAAUGAAUUGUCGAGAAACAUAAGGUCGAAAUCUUGUCGACAAGCCAGUUCGGAGGUAUAUCACCCGAAAACAGAGACGUAUGGAACGUGAAUUGUCUAGCUAAUAAAAUAAAACUCAUAAUCCCAUGCUCAUAACAAAGAGCAGCACUUUCGCACAAUUUCACCAAACUCAGUUUCAUCGUCACCCUGCUGCGUGAUAGCCGAUCAGAGUACUUGUGAGUCGCCUUUGAAUAUGACAUUGGAAACCUGCAACCCAAUUGCCCACUGGAGAGCUUCAAGAAGUGCCAAAGCCUCUCCAUCCUUCGCCGGUAGUAGCCCCAUUCUUCAUUGCAUGCGAAAAUGCAGCAGAGUACCUCGAUGAUCCCUGAUAACCAUAGAUCUACCAGUAAUUCUUAAUCGAGUUUCUGGCUUAAGCUAACAAACACAUCGGCGGUUACCAGAAAUUUGAACUCAGGCAGUCGGCGAACAAAAGGCUUGAACUCAUCGGAAGUCUUGGUUGGUAGGGACAGAAAUCCAAUCAGCAGAUUCAAAAUGUAGAUCCCGAGCCAGUAGGAGACGACUUAAAACCCUUGGACAGUGGACAUAGUAAAUCCGCUAGACGUAGAGAAUCGCCACCGAAAGGGUUCCUAGCCACCCGAGCAUCGGCUGAGGCACCGAUUUGUCGAGAUAGUGCUGGAACACCCCGGAGAAGUCGCUGCUCCACUUGACGAGCUGGGGGACGCCUUCACUUCCCGGUUCCGCCAUGGAUUCUAAUCUGAAGAGGUCGUGGCAAGGGUUUCAAAGAUGAAGAAGUAGCAAAUGGUAAGUUAGCUGGUUGCGCAAGUUAAACUGUAAUACAAUUAGGUUAUUUAAUGCCAACAUUACAUUUUUUAUUAUUUAAAAUCAAAACAACCAAUGAAAUAUCGCUAUAUAGUAUUUAUAUCGGAUACAAAUUUUCACCGAAAUAUUAUCCUUAAAGAGCGGGUCCGCCCUUUUUAUCAACAAACAGAACAUAGCGGACCGCCCAAGUUAUAACUUAUGUUACAAUCAGUAGUACAAUAAUCACUAAACGACAAAAUAUGAAGUAAACAGAUACAAAGUCAGUGAUGUGUAUAUCUAACUCCUCCUCCACGUCUCAUGUGUAUACUGUUCGAAGCAGAAAGUGUGAUAUGUAUUCAUCAAUGAAGUUGGGCAGCUUUCAAUUGAUUUAAUUACAUACAUUGCUAUCUCCAAUGGUAUUAUUGUUAUGUUUAGAUAUUAUAUAUUGAUAGUGACGGUGUGGGAUGAUCUGCUUGCCCCGAUAUUUUCAAGGUACGGAUACCCCUUAUGUGGUUGUCACUUAACCACAUUUUGAAACGUUACGUUUCGUCUGUUGGUUACUUAUGCAAAGCCUUUAAGGACAAAAUUGAUAAUCUCGUCAGUUGGUUAUGGAAAAAAUGAUAUUUGAUUUCAUUUUUUUCAAAUAAUUAUUCGGUGUAACAGGUGAUAUCUGCAAACUAAUCUGAUUACUCAUUUUAGUGGUAAAUGGAUCUGAUUUAAAAAAAAAAUAGUUAAGUUAUGAUUAGAAAAUAAACAAAUUACACAUUUUUUAAGGUAAAUAAAAUCAUAUAAUAUUUUUGCAUUGCUUUUGUUUUUAUGGUUAUAAUCAGGAUUCACCAUCACAAUUCACGAUUAGUAACAUGUCAUGAAUAUGUGCCAAAAGAAAAUUGGAGAAAUAACGGGAAGCGUAUGUAAUCAUGCAUAGCAUGAUUGUAAAAAAUGAGCGAAAUUUAUAUAUAUGUCAUUUUGAUUAUACAGAUUAUGAAAUGAAGUUUACAUAUCCAUGCCCAUCUUUUAGAAUAUGAACAAUAUUUCCGAAAUCAUUUGAAAAUUCGUGAUAAGUCCAAAAGUCAUUAUCUUCAAACAGUUUUAAUUGAAGAGAUUUGGAGCCAGUUUGGAUCUAUAUUUUGGAUACCUAGUUCGAUUGCCAUCCUCAAAAAUUAUGAAAUCUUAAGUUUUUCCUCAAGCACUCUUUCUUAUGAGCUACCCACUAACUCCAGCUCGAAACUACAAAAUUUGAGCCGGUUGGAAUGACGUGGCUACUACCAUGUGUGCGGGUAGUAGUGACUUAUCUAGCCAACAAAGUAAACUAAAAAAAGUUUUGGAGGACGAUUAUUGAGAUAAAUAUAUUGCAUUAAGAUCCGAAAAAGGAUUACAAUAUUAUAAACAAUACAUAUUGGAUUAUUUUGUACAUAACUCAAAUAUAAAGGACCAUUUCGAUCAAUUAGCCGGGCCAUCGAUAUGGUCAUUUUUAAAGUUAAAAGUCAAUAUAAGGAAUGAGACUCCAACAAAAUGUCCAUGUCUACAUAUCCACCAUCAUCUUCUCAUCCUCGAUUCACUCAAACUUGAACUAUGGUCGGCAUAUUACAAGUCAACAUACGACAACUGAAAACUCAACGCGUAAACAAAUUAAUGUUAGAAGGUAGAUAUGCAAUGGAACGCUAGUAAUGUCUGUAAAAGUGUCCAGGGAAGCCAUCUGGGUCGGGGGGAUUGCUUACCACCAAGUCCAAAGACUACCUGUUUGAUUUCCUCGUCAGACAUCUCACGUCACAAAUCAACAUUGAUAGCAUCAGAGGCGCCUUUCGGAAAGCUGCUGAGAUCGGGAAUGUCGCGAUAGUCGAGGAGAUGUUCCACCUAAAUGCAUGGUUGUUAAGAGUAAUGGGAGUAAUGGUAUCUAUUUGCAAUAGUUUCCAAAUACAUAUACGACACUGAUUCCUGGAAACCAUAACUGGACAGACAGUUAUAGGAUCCGGUAACUCAUGCAGCACCAAAAGGUUAAUAUGCCAACUUCUACGCGAUUUUCAAGCAAAGUUUUUUAAAAUUUAUUUUGAGGAACAUUCAUUGAUGGAGCCGACAAGGAGGAAUUGAAAGCAAUAGCUAUUGAAUAGUGGGAGGCAGAGGAAAUGGGAAGUGAGCAAAGGGAGGCAGCUACGAUCCGAAUUCCCAACCAUAUUACCCUCACUCAUUUAAGGCAUUGCCAGGUUGAAAUCUUUGCCAUCAUUCACACCUACGGCACUCCCAGCUGUGCCUCUUCCACCGGUAAACCUUAGACAAGGAAGUUAACACGUCUUUCAACUAAAACUUCCCAACUGCCUUCUCCUCCCCCUCUUCACCGAGUCGUACUCCAUAUGUACCAAUUCAACUGCGCGUGUAUCAUAUGGCAGAGCCCGUGUUCAACUUGCAACUCAACCGUGUAUCCAUCCCAUUAGCGGAAUCCGAAUGGAUUGCGACCUUGGGAAAAUUUCUAAGUUUGGAGUAGGUUUGACAGCAUAGUGGGUAUUCAUUACGGAAAAACAUGAUGGGUAUCAUGAACCAUUGUAUACCAAUAAUUUGAGUAAUUGACUUGUUGGAAGAAGGUUAAUCAUGAAUUUUAAACUAUUUUUGUAUAUUUCCCCUCAAAUAAAAGUAAACCGACGGAUUUAAAGUUUCCACAAGCCUACUAUACCUUGUGCUUUCAAAUCAACUGUUAAUAUUAUUGGGGUCUUGGAGAUUAAAACACAUGAUCAUUUGGUCUAAAGAAUUCGAUACCAUAUCACGAACCGUUACAUCCCAAUAACUCGAUUGUUGGGAGAAGGUUAAUUAUGUAUUUUAUACUAUUCUCUAACAAUGGGUAAAAUUCAAACUUUGGAACCGAGGGACCCAAAUUCCGCCAUUGUGUCUAUCGAUAAUCAGUUUAAAAGGAAAAACAAAGAGUAUUCAUAUAUAGUGAUAAAUUAAAUUAUUUUGAAAGGGUCUGUCCAUAAAAGUUGUUCUAUUUCUAUUAGAGGUGUGCACUCUUGUACAUUGGGGUACGAUACUUCCUACAUGGGUGGUAUCUAGACACCACAUUGUUGAUGUCAGCAUCCACGUAGGGGUACCUAUACCCUUAUGAUAUCAGACACGCUAGUACUUCUGUGGUACGGAAACCCCUACAUGCCUAUCACCUAGAGACUAACGAGACACUACAUCGUUGAUGUCCCUACAUGAGUAAACUCCCUUCUACAAUAAGGUGAUUUAACUUUCUCUCAUGAAACGAAAAAUAAUGUUACACAAAAGUACUACGAGACUGGUGUAGUUUAUUGAUAGGAGGGGGUGGUAGCACAGCAAUGACAUUAACUCUGGACUUGCCAAAUCUAUAUUGGACUUGUAUUCUUGUAGAGCUAUAUAAGUAGGUAGAUUGAAUAUCAACAGCCUCUCACAACUCUCACAAUUUCCUCAACUUGGUUUUGCUUUCUACUCUCCACUCCGACUACUCUCUCUCUCUUACUCCAGAUUUCUGUUGUUUAGUGGGGAAAAGGGAAAUUUAAGGUUGCUUUCGCAUUUCUUUCUGUUUUUGGGGGCUCUCUCUGAGUAAAAACAGAGCAACUAUACUAUGGCUGCUGCUUUGUCUGACUGGCCAUGGGAGAACCUUGGAGUGUACAAGGUAACAACAAUACAGUUACAAAAGCUCCAAACGUUUCAGUUGAUUCUUUGACAAAAUUUGAUUUGCUCAUGUGGGUUUUUUGUUGUUCCUGUUGUUGUUUUGUCCGUGUGAAGUAUUUGCUGUAUGGACCUGUGCUGGGGAAAGUAGUGUACUCGAGAUAUCAAGGUGGGUACUUGAAGCAAGAUUGGUGUUUUUACUUGGUAAUCAUUUGGUACCUCAGGAUGUGUGUCCACAUACUGUGGAGCACUUUUGUCAAUAUGCUCUUCUUCACCAAAAGCCUCAGGAUCAACAAACAUGGCUAUGAUUUCAAGCAGAUUGAUAAAGAAUGGGAUUGGUAAGUUCCUUACUUAACUCUCCCUUGAAUAACUCGUUUGUUGGAGCAGUACUUACUUAUUGUGCUGAGUACUGGUUUCCUAUUUGAUUAAUUUCAGGGACAAUUUCCUGAUCCUGCAAUCAAUGAUUGCAUCAGUGACAUGUUUGAUGUUUCCAUCUUUCUUGGAACUUCCUGUAUGGAACACAAAAGGAGUGGUCUGCAUUUUGGUGCUACAUGUAUUAAUCUCAGAGCCACUUUACUAUUGGGUUCAUAGAUGCUUCCACAAAACCUCCUUGUUCACCAAUUACCAUUCAAUUCACCACUCAUCCGCAGUUCUCCAUCCUUACACAGGUAACUAAUCUCAUCAUCUCCAAAUUCUACUACACUCAGAUCAUGAUUGAGUUUGCUUGAUCUGAUUGAAUUUCGCUUUUUCGACAGGAUCGCAUUUGUCAUUUCUGGAGCAUCUGGUGCAAGCAACAAUCAUUGGGAUCCCAAUAUUUGGAUCUGCAAUUCUUGGAUAUGGAUCGUUGGUUCCAAUGGUUGGCUAUGUUUUGGUGUUUGAUUUCCUGAGGUGUAUGGUCCAUUCCAACACUGAAGUUAUUCCUCACCAGCUCUUCCAGACUCUCCCAUUCCUCAAAUACCUCAUUUCAACACCAACGUAAGUCAAAAACAUUAUUAAUUGUUUUUGUUGAUAGCUACUAUACUUCCUUUCUUUACUGUUUCCCUCUCUAUGAAAUCACAAUUUUGUGACAUAAAAUCUCAGAGAAAAACCUAUAAAUUAGGCACUACUAGUUGAAGUUGUCCAUAUAGAAUUAUUAAGAAGAUGAUAGGGGGUCGACCUGUCAAAUCAGGACUGGGCACGGUCCCAUUUCUGGCUAAAAAUAUGCCAUCUACCACCUUGCAGUAGUUAUGCUGCCACUGUUUAUUAAUGCUUCCACGCUCUCACACCUCUGUAAAAGUUCCAACUUCCGUUAAACAGGUUGUAGUCGAGUGGUUGUAGCAUCUCAUUUUGUUCCCAGAGAUCCUGAGUUUGAAGUCCGGAAUGCACAAUCAUUCCAGCACCUCUGUGAUGACAUUGGUCUCACCUGAGUUGACAGCCGACAACUCCGUAGUUUACCUAACGACGGCAACACUCAAUGUGGUGCACGUCCAAAGGGUUUUUCGUGUAAAAAAAUAAAAGUUCCAACUCUUUUUCCUGAAUUCAUGCUGCUCAACUCUAUAUAUCUACAGUAAAAUUGACCAAGCUCUGUCUCUUUAUUUUUUACAGGUAUAAUAGUCUGCAUCAUGCUGAAAUGGGAACCAAUUUCUGCCUGUUUAUGCCAAUCUUUGAUGCAAUUUGGAAGACCCUUAACAGCAAUUCAUGGGAGCUUCACAAGAAGCAGCGUGCAAAAGCAGGUACGUAACUUAUAAGCACAUUUCUCAACUUGGUUCAAAUAAAUGCACCCUUUUCCCGGACUUUAGUAUCUGGUACAGCUAUUUUUAGGCCACUUGAUUCUGCCCCUUUUCCUCUACUUUCCGUAGGGACCAUUUCCAAAAAGAUGAUAACUUUUUUUAACAUUGAUCAUGGAUUACAAUUGGUAACCAACUCGUCACAGCCAAUCCAACAACAGAAUUGUAACUGGUUUUGUCUGGUGUUCUCAGGGAAGUAUGGCAGAGUUGCUGACUUCGUGUUCUUGGCACACGUUGUCGAUUUAUCUUCUUCAAUGCAUUCGCCCUACGUUUUCCGGACAGUUUCUUCGUUGCCGUACAAGUUCCGAGCAUUCUUGAUCCCUUACUGGCCAACAACUUUCAUGGUGAUGCUAAUGAUGUGGGCUAAAGCCAGGGUAUUCAUCCAAUCCUUCUACACCCUCAGGGGCAAGCUUCACGAGACUUGGGUUGUCCCUAGGUUUGGUUUCCAGGUACCGUCAUGGUUCCAACUUUACCUUAAUCAUUACAUUUGGAACAAAACAGUAGUAAUAACUAAUUAUAACAUGUUAUUUUGCAGUACUUCUUGCCAUUUGCCAAGGAAGGAAUCAAUAAAAGAAUUGAUGAGGCGAUUCUCAAAGCUGAUAGACUUGGAGUUAAGGUCCUGAGUCUUGCUGCACUCAAUAAGGUUAGCCAUUGAUUUAUUGUACCAAGAAAAUAAAUUAUGAGUUGGAAGGAAGGCAUUAAUGGUUCAUAUCUAUCUAUCAACCAAUGUCAUCUUCUACUAUUGAAUACUGCAACAUUGGAAUGGGGGUCCAUAAACUGUUUUGGAUAUUUAUUAUCCCAUAUUCUGGAUUAAAUUUUCAGUUAGUGUUAGUCAAAUGUAAAUUGACAUGUAACUGAUUAUUGCAGAAUGAAGCUCUGAAUGGAGGUGGAACGUUGUUUGUAAACAAGCAUCCUGAUCUUCGAGUCCGAAUCGUCCAUGGCAACACGUUGACUGCAGCAGUGAUUCUUAACGAGAUUGGAGAUGAAAUUGAAGAAGUCUUCCUAACAGGAGCUACUUCCAAGCUUGGAAGAGCAAUUGCUCUUUACCUUUGUAGGCGUAGAGUUCGAGUUCUCGUACGUUUUCCUUGAAACCAUUUUCAUCUAACUAGGAUCGAUGAUCGGUACACUAAUUAGUAACGCGAUAUACAGAUGCUGACGCUAUCUACCGAGAGAUUUCAGAAGAUUCAGAAAGAAGCACCAGUGGAAUGCCAGAGUUACUUGGUGCAAGUUACUAAGUAUCAGGCUGCUAGAAAUUGCAAGGUGAGGAGAACAUUUUUUUGCUUAAUGCAUUUUGAGGUCACUAUUGUUUGUUUUUUUGACAUUUUUGCCCUUUUUAAAAUUGGGCUGGUAAUAGACAUGGAUAGUGGGCAAGUGGAUCACACCAAGAGAGCAAAAUUGGGCCCCUUCAGGAGCCCAUUUCCAUCAGUUUGUUGUCCCGCCCAUUUUGGCAUUCAGGAAGGAUUGCACCUAUGGGGACCUUGCUGCCAUGAGAUUGCCUCAUGAUGUUGAAGGUCUUGGAUGUUGUGAGGUAAGAGACCCUUUAGUAAUCACCAUCACUAUCUUAAUAAACUCUCAGCUUUGAUUCAUAACUUGUUAUACACUUUCGACAUGAUUCAGUACACGAUGGACCGCGGAGUGGUGCACGCGUGCCACGCGGGAGGGGUGGUGCACUUCCUAGAAGGGUGGAAGCACCACGAAGUUGGAGCGAUAGAUGUCGACAGGAUUGAUCUUGUGUGGAAUGCUGCAAUGAAGCAUGGAUUGAAGCCUGUCUCCAACAUGAACAAAUCGAAACAAACAUAGAUUAUUAAUUAUAAUGAUGUAUUGCUUCUAAUUUUUAGUGUAUUAUAGUAGCAUAAAAUGCAAUCAAAAUUUGCAGGGAUUGACAUUAAAGCAUAAAAUGCUGUGUUCUACAGAGAUGAAUGAAUGGAAAGGAAUGAGUAAACAGAAAGUCUUCUAUCUAGUUGUUCUUUGCAAAUACUGGUUGGGGAAGUUCAAUUCAUGUUGUAAUGUUGUGUAAUCUCGUCUAGUCGUUAGACCAUUAAUUUGACAAGAUUAUAAGCUUCAACUUAACGAUGAGCCUACCAUUCAAUUGAAUCAUCAACUUGGCAGCAACACAGAGUAUGUCCCUGAAACCUCUCGUUGGUCGAUUCGCUAGCGACCGGAAAUGCUCUGCUUCAACGAUGAAACACCAUGUUACUCGUCUAUGAAAAUUGUCUGCGGAACACUUCCCAACCCAACCCCUCACAAUCCACUUGCGCCGUACCGAUACACUCACCACCCGGUUUCUGACCCGGCCCAAUCCCCUAUUCAAAACUUAAGAGGUUUACUUCAGAUUUCCUCCCUCAAUUUUAGAAAAAAACACCUUCAAUACCCCAAAUAUUUAUAGUCUUUCUUCUUCUUCUUCUCAUUUAUUUUUUUGUGUUUAUGUUGGUCGCUUUAAUUUGCUCAAGUGCGGUUUGAUUCGGCUUUUGAUUGUUUUAUCCUGGGAGAAAAACGUUAUUGUGUAGGACGAAUCUAGUUUAAGAAAAUUGUAUAAGACUUCAAUUUUAAUUUGUUUAUGUUUAUUCUAAUCAACGUUAUUUUGUCCAACGUACACUAGCAUGAUGUACCAUGAUUAGUGUGAUGUGAUGAAGGUGAUUAGAACCACUAUGACGCUCAACGGUUGUAAUGAGUCUUGAGAUGAAACCCUAGGCGACCUUCCUAGCCUUGACAUUGACCCCUGGUUGGGCCUUUAAGAUUAGGUGACGCUCUCUCCGCCAAAUUCAAGUCAUCGCUUGACAAACGGCUAAGAUGAUGUGGGUUGGUUAUCAAGAGAAUGACCAUGACCACUUGAGUGUUCUGGCUAUCCAAACCUGAAGCCUAUCUAUCAAUAAUGGCUCGGGUUGGGGCCUAUCAGUAGCUACCUAGGGGCCGUUUGGAGAAGGUCAUGACAAACGAAUUGUGAGAUUCCAUGCCCUGAAAUUGAUCCUGUGUUUAUCCCGAUCAAUUAAGUUGAGAGCAGUUUUAAACCCAAACCCAAACUCAAACACUAAACCCAAAUUCAAAACGAAACAAAUAUAAAAUGAUGUUGAAAAGACUUCUGUACCCUUUUUAUUCAGACCGUUAGAUCUAAAAUCCUUGAGAUCUAACGGUCCAUGAACGUCCUAAAAAUUUCAAAAUCCUUUUUCGUCUGGAUUCCAAACCUGCUCCGAUCUAAGUUGAAUCAAGAGUUCACCCACCCGGCUGUAAUCAUUCAAAGAACACAAGAAAUGACUUUUAUGCAAGGAAUGAAUUGUGUGGGACCCAUUGUACCACCCGUCGCACCAAUGAACAUGUUCCCUCUUUUAUCCAUCUCCCUCCCAAAAUCAACGUCCACUCAAAGCAUUACAUNNNNNNNNNNNNNNNNNNNNNNNNNUAAUUGAUGACGUAGUGCCAUGCCAGGACAUCAUAUUAUUAUUAUUAUUAUUAUUAUUAUUAUUAUUAUUAUUAUAUAAUGUAUAAAUUCAUUAGUACUAGUGUGGGCCUUAUUAUUACGGUUUAAGAUGUGUGAACAUCAAUCUUCCUCGCGAAACAUAGCCCCUAAUAAUAACAGGAUAUUAUUCUGUCAUUUAACAUAACAUCAAGAACCGAAAGUGAUGGAUUGUGAGUCAUGACUAUUAUCAUUAUUCUUUUAUUUUUAUGGAUACAAUAGGAGUCCAGAUUUCGAGUCGGAAAAUGGCUUUUAGAUCUGGUUUACAAAAGCCUGCUCAAAAUUAUGUCUUAGAUCUAGCGGCUGAAAAUACAGGGUAGAAUUGACAUUUUAUAGCCAUGCAAAUGUAUAUAGUAAGUGUUGUAUACAAAUAUGUGUAUGAUACUUAGUAUAGUGCAUAGUAUUACACUUAGUAUGAAAACCAUACAAAUAUACAUACACUUUUUUACAAGUUUGUACAAACCUAUACACACUUGUAUGAUCCGUACAACUCUUGGUACAAAGUUGUUCAACCGGUCUUGGAAAAUAUUUUCAAAAAUAAUAAUUUUUCCAUAAACGCGGAAAUGGUCAUGUGGAUGCUACACUUUUCGUCAACAGGGUCGGAAUCACCGAGAAGCUGAUCAGGAAACUUUCCGAUGUUCAUAGACGACCGGCAAUUAAACAAACAAACAUAUUUAAAACAGCAUGACCAUAUUACCCCUAAUUAAUCGAAACCCUUAGAACAUGUGGAGAUCUACGGGCCCCGAUUGUUCGUGGGUCGUAUCAUGCAAAACUAAUUAUUAUCCAUAUAUAUAUAUAUAUGUCAUGUGCUAAUGACAUACAGCCAUCCAUCAAUUAAUUGGUGGUUGAUUGGUAUUGGUCACUCACUCGAGUUUCAGUGAACGUAGAGAGUCAACUAAACCAAGCAAGAAACGAGAAAAUAUUUAUUAAAUAAUUUAUUGCCAUUAUAUGAAACAUCCACGUUCACGGGGGGGCAUCCGUAACAAAUCAAAGUUAGGAAACAAUUGUUUCAGUCAACUACAAAUAUUUGGGUCCUGGACAUAGACACCCUUGAUUCCACUCCACAUAAAUCUCACUUGAUUCCAGAAAUCCGCACAUAUAUAAUCGAUGUCUAAUUACUUGAUUAUUAGAUUUAUAUUGACCGCAUUAAAGCGGUUCGAGUGACAAUCUGAUGUGACCAAGCUCGAGUUUUUCGUUGAUAAAAUUUUUUAUCAACAUGUUUUGUGCAAACCCCUAAACAUUAAAAUUCUACGUGCAUGAUCAUCAUUUUUAGCCCUAUUUUUCUAGUAAGACAAUUUAUAAUGAGUUUUUUGUGAUUUGAAAAGUUUAUAAUUAAAUUUAUAGUCGAAGAUUAGUUUCCAAUUCUUGGACCAUUGACAAAAAACAAUGAAUUUUUUAGAAACCCCUUCAUGGAUAUCAUUCGGGAUAGAGUAUAGGGUGGAAAGAAAAAAGUACAAAGUAGAAUUUUAUUGCAUAGUUUGCAUAGUUAAAAUUUUGUGUUUAGGAAUUUAAUAUUAACUAUUGAGAUUUGAUAUAUUAAUGUGCAUGGUACAUUCAAUACUAAAUUUUAAAUUUUAAAUAUUUCAUAUUCAACUCUAAACUCUAAAAGAUAAUGUUAAACCCCUAAAUGCUAAAUUCUAACCCUUAAAUAUUUUAUUCUAAAAUUAAAUUCUUAAUCGUACUUCACUCUGACUUUUGACCAUAAAUAUAAAUUAAUCAAUCAUAAAUAUUUUAUUUAGACUCUAAACACUAACCACUAUAUUUUCAUAAACUCUAAACACUAAAAAAAACCUUAAAACUCUUAAUUUUAAACAUAGUAUAUAACAAAAAUAUAAUAAAAUAUCGUGUACACUAAUACACUAAUUAAGAUUGUUUACUUACAAAUUUAAAUUAAUAAAAGUGUAAAUUAAAUUGUACCCAUAUUUGAGGUAUCAAAGCGCUUUCUAUAUAAUGUACAAAAAAAUUAUGAAAAUAAAAGUAAAUAAAAAAAGAAGGUGAAAGUCAGGGGCAAUAGAACAAAGGAGUAUAUAUUUUCGGUGGUGGGACAUGUUCAGCCAUGUGCAUGCAUGUGCUGUGUCUUUCUCCCACACUCAUUUGGGCCCUACCUCCUCCUCCUCUUCUUCUUCUUCUCCUUCUUCUUCUUCUCCUUCUUCUUCUUCUUCGCCAAUCGCCCUUCCCCUCCUGCAAAUAAAUUAAGCCCCCUGCUACUCUUUCCUUUUCUUUCUUGGAUCUGCAGACCCUCGACAUUUAUUAUUACUAUUAUAAAUUACAGCAGCUCCCUCAGUUCACCAAAACAAGGCAGAAGCAGAGAUAAAGAUAUUCUUCAUUCUUCUUGGGCACUACGUACGUAUGUUGUUUCUGCACUAAGUAUCCUCCCUCUCCUCAACCCUACGUACCCUCCAUUCAUAUAAUCAGGUAGGUAAUUAAUUAAGCUUGCGUCGUCUCUCAUUAAACCCUACAUGCUUGUAUAUUAUACAGUCUUCUUAAUCGCUCUCCCUUCUCCCUGCUGCUCCUCUUUCUAUUUCAUGAUUAUAAGAACAAUGCUAGCUAGCUUUUUCUUAAGAUGAUAUCACUCCAAAUCAAAAUUUCAUUGAUUAUUCUUUAUAUAUAUAUGAGGAGAUCAAAUUCUCAUGUAAAAUCUGCAAAUUCAAACAACUUUGCCAAAAAAAAUAUUCAAUUAAUUUCUAAAAUUUAAAUUGAUUACUAAUCAUAUAUGUAACUGUUUGCAUCAUAAUUAUUCGAGUUGUUGGGAAAGGGUUCGGUUUGAUAGUUAUAUUAUUCAUAUUAACACGCCCACCUCAAACAGAAACUCUCAAAAGAGCUGAGGUUUGCACAGUUUCAUUAUGUAAAUCAGGUUCACGGAAUGGGGGCUACCUGAUACGAAACGAAAAUCUUUCAGUCUUUUUUAUGUUUUGAUAUCAUGUCAAGAACUAUUGGGGGAGGGUUCUGAUUGAUAAAAUAUAUUAUUUAUUAACGAUAACAACAAUUUUCGGAGAGAAAAAAAUGAUUACUCUUAUUGUGAAUUUCGAUACUCGUGUAACAUUUUUAUGGGCAUCAAUUAUAAAAAAAAAUCUCUAUGGACAUGUUUGUCAAAGUUUUUAAGAAUCAAUCAUAACAGUGAACGUACUUUAUAACAACAAAUGUAAAUAAUUAAUUAACAGAGUAUUUUUGUGUCUAGGCUUAAUUUACAGUUUUGAGGGGUAGGAAUGCGUUCUCCAACCUCAUUGAAGCGAGAAUUCCUAAAGAAAUGGAUACUAGCUCUUCAACUAUGUAACCGCACCAACAAGUCGAAAAGUAGUAGUACUGUCACGGAGAGGAAGAAGACGAUCAAACUAUCAGCCGAAAUAGCAAUGGCCACGGCAAGAAACGGCGCCACGUGUUGGAGCCGCGCAAUCAUCGCCAAUGCGGCCAAGUCGGAGGAGGCCAAACCCUUCCUCAGCCUCCUCGUCGGCACGCAACAACAGCAGCAGUGUGCUGCGAGUUCCGGGGCCGGAAGGCCGAAGAAGAAGCGGAUGGUGACGACGAGGUGCAAGAAGAUAGUAAAGAGGAGCUGCCGGAGAAGAAGCAUUAACGUGGUGGCGGCGGCGGCUCCGGAAAAGGUGGCGAAAUGGAUGGCAAAGAGGAGGAGGAAGAAGUCGACGGAGGUGCUGAAGAGGAUAGUGCCAGGAGGGGAGUUGAUUGGCGAUGACGUGGCGUUGAUUCUUGAAACCCUAGACUACAUGGUGUCACUCCGAGCUCAGGUCCAAGUUAUGAGAUGUCUUGUUCGAGCUGCAGCUGGCUCUGGUUUUCAGGAUAUUGUUUGAUCCAGACGUCAAAGCACAAGGGUAUUUGUGUCAUAUAGAUAUAUUGUAAUAUGUAACUAUAUUAUAUACGUACGUACGUUAAGGGUUAUAUUAUAUAUAUUUCAAAUACAUAUUUUUAUACUCAUCCUUACAUACCCAUGUAAGGAUGAGAUGGUUAUUUGCGGACUAUUAGAUCAUUUUAACAAGAAAUCGCUAGUCCGAGUCCGGUUGGCCUAAUGUCAUAUAACAUUUUGAGAAAACCAUAAUGCAUAAUGUCAUAUACAUGUAUAUUUUAACUCAAUAUUAGGUUUAAAUAAUAUAAUUUUUAUUCAAAUCCGACUCCAUGCAUGUUUCCACGAUACUAAUUCGGCACAACUCUCCAUAAAGCGGUCUAGUAUGUCAUUAAAAUUGGUAACCAACUAAUGUGAUUCAAGUCUCAAUCGUGUGAAAAUCGAGUUCCUCCAAAUAAAACUAAUGCCGAAUAGGGGACUAGUGACUUAGCUUGACAGAUAGCUUUCAAUAAGUAUAGUAUAGGAGGAACAUGGUCGUCAGUUGAAUUCUUUUUAUAGCUAGAGGAGAGGGGGGGUUGUGUGAGUGAAUUAUUGAGUAUAUUAUAGGUGGUGGUGGUGGCGCCGUGACAUAAGAUAGAACAAUGAAAGGCAGAGAAGCCUUUCCCUUUCAUGUAACAGAAACCAAUGAAAGGGAAACCCAUACGAACACUCACACACACACACACACCAAAAUAUGUGUAUGUGAUCAGUUGGUAACAUGCAUAUAUAGCUACAAAUUGAUCGACAUGUGAUGGUGACAAGUGCUUUGGGAGGGGGGAGGUACGUUACAAGUCUGGAAAUGGGGAUAAUCAAUAUAUCAUGUUAAUUUGCACGUAAUGACGCAUACACCUUUUCAUGUGCAAUAUCCAAUGAAUGUGUCUUGUCCAUUCCAAUGUGUAACAUGCACAUACAUAAGCAAAGCAUCUAGCCUUACAUCGUCCUCUCAAUUAACUGCCCUUCUCAAUUAUUCUAUGUAAUAUAUAGAGUUUUGGAUUUUUAAAUCCAAAUAUAUGGAUAUAGACAUAGGGUGGGUAGUUUGAUUUUGUUUGAACUUUGAUUAAUAUAUUUGGUUAUGGGAAGAUUUAAAUUAUAUUGCGAUCUCAGAUGAUUUGGAGGGUGAUUUUAUGUUUUGUUAAGUUUUAGUUUUUUUUGAAAUUAAUUUUUGAAAUGGCGUAUUUAUAUUUUUCAAAAUUUUAUAAAGAGCACGUUUGGUAUAGGAAAAUUCUGAAUUUUAGAAAUGUAGAAUUUAUGAAUUGGAUUAAUAUUGAGAAAGUGUGAAUUUAUUGUUUGGUGUCCGAAAUUUUUACAUUGAAAUACAUUUUGAAUAAGUGCAGCAUUUGUUCAUUGACCAAAUUACCCUAUAAAAAGUGAGAUUAUGAGCAAGGAAGAAAAAGAGGAGAAAGUGGGAAGAAUAUCAAUGGAAAUAAGUUACAGUAUUAUGAUGGGUCCACUAAAAACUCAAGGAAAGUUGAAAAUGUUGGUGGUAAGCAACAUUUCUACAAAUAUAUUUUGGACAAUAAAAAUGGGUCCAAAUAAUUCCAUAUUCCCAUCCUCUCGCUUCAAUCGUCUCUCUGGAACUCUAACUCUUUCCAAGAGCUCGAAAAAUAUGUGUAUAUUGAAGUCUAUCCCGUCCACAGGGGUCUCGGAGGUAUUUAUAGGCUUCUGGACCAAGUUGGAGAAGGAAAAGGACUUGAAAACCCGUAUGGGGGUGGGACACGGCGUGCUCCAUAUGGAACACGCUAUGUUCCAUGAACACGGCCGUGUUCCUGGCCGUGUUCGACCCCUGUAACUUUCUCGGGCAAUUUCAGCGGAGGAACACGCCGUGUUCCUUCCUUAUACGGAAUUUGAUCAUAGUGUUAACAUCAAAGUUGUAGACAAUCGAAUUAUCUUUCCAACGCCGCUGACCUUGCAUCAAUUGGACUUCAGAGCGAUGAGUUAUGCUCAAAAUACUAAACAGUGACGCUUUCUUCCAAAGUCGAACGCUUUGAGUUGUUCCGGCCUCCCCAUCAUGUCUUGGUUUAUCUCCAAACGUCAUAUGACACCUGAAAUAUUACAAAAAACAUACCAAACACCAUAAUACCGCCCCGAGGGGCAAGAGAACCAAACAUGUACUCAAAACCCAAAUUUGAAUACAUUUCGACUCACAAAAAUAUAGUUUAUAACGAGAAAAGGUGUGUCGAAAAUACAUCAUAUUAGUGUGUGUGGAUCAAACACACACCCCAAUUCAACCUUUAGUGUGAGAAAUGCCUUAGGGGAAUUUCAUCAAACACUUGGUGGGAGAUCUGAAAGACCCUCAAUUGUGUGACAUGAUUGAGGGAUAGGGCGUUUGGGGUGUAAACAGUGACUUACCACCUAUUUCCAAGUGUUUGUAGUGCCUCUAAGGUAAUUUGAUCACUUAGACAUUUUUUCGAACACUUAGUGUUCAUUACCAAUUGGUUUGAUCACUUGCCAAUUGGUAGUGGUAGUCCAUUACAAGACCUUGUCUUGGACUCCUACAAAUUUCUUGAAGAGAUUCAAGCUAUAACUUGUGUCCAAUGUAUAGUACUUGUUAGUUAUUGCAGGUAUAAAUUAUUUUAUUUUCUCAUUUGUCUCGAUGUUACUUUAUGUGAGUGAUUGUGAUUUAGUAUUUUAGAUCUGUUAGAGGUACUAAUAACCAUAAUCAAUUACAGGUUCGGAUAGAUACUACUAAUUUGUCUUCAUCCGGUACUCGUAAGUGAUUCGAGGUACCGAUUUUAUGUCGAGGUACUGAUUGACAAUCGAGUAUCCGUUGAUUGACUACCGCUCCCAUCAACCAUCAAUUCCUUUACCUUGGGUCUGAUCCGGGCUCGUGUGGCUACCAGCCAGCAUGCAUUGAUGAAUUCUCGGCCAGCAUGCAUUGAUUCUAGCCGCCGGUUAUGAAAGUAAGAAAUAAAGCAAUACCUUUUCUAUUUUCAUAUAUGAAUGAACUGUCCUUUGGUUAAUAAACAAGAGUUUAAAUGUUUACCAAAAAUAAAACAAGAGUUUAAUGAACAACAAAUGCAGAAUCUAAACAUGUUUGGGGGGUUGGUUUAAUUAUUAUGUCCAUCACACAUCAUGCAAAUGAGCAUGCUUCAUUCUUAACCUAACCAAAAAAAAA